GAGUAAUGAUGUUUUAAACCUAUUCCAUUUCUGAAAUACUGUGGAAAAAAAUCAGCUGAACUC
This is a small nucleolar RNA of Pelodiscus sinensis (Chinese soft-shelled turtle), 63 nucleotides long. Ensembl annotates it as small nucleolar RNA SNORD98. The record is from Ensembl. Lineage: Eukaryota; Metazoa; Chordata; Testudines; Trionychidae.